GUGUGUGUGUGUGUGUGUGUGUGUGUGUGUGUGUGUGUGUGUGUAGAGGGAAACAGUGUCUCUUUUUCAUGAGCUCCUCUGCUGUAUAAUUGCUCCCUGCCUCUUCCUGUGAUCCACGCUGAUGUAGGGGAGGGCUCAACUUCUGACGUUAUACAAAUAGGAAUUCCCUUCGCUAGUCUCUCUCACUCCGCUCUCAUUCACUUUCACCCCGUCUGGCCCCCAGACGAACUCACUCUCCCUCUCCCUCUCUCUCUUUAUCUCUCUCUCUCUUUAUCUCUCUCUCUCUCUCUCUCUCUCUCUCUCUCUCUCUCUCUCUCCUAUAUAAACACUUAUAGUGUCUAUACUGGAGUCGGACACUCCCUCUGAGACACAGCUGCUAUAAGGUUCCUCUCACGCUCUGAACGGAGGACAUACAGAGAGAGAAAGCCGUCCGAUCACCCAGGUAAGAGGCCAGUGUCACACUUCUGAACUUUGAAUAACAUCUGCAUGUGGUUUCUCCACUCUCCGCUGUUGCUGUCUAAGUUUCCAAGGCGUUUUGCACUAAAAAAAAAUAAAACACCCCUUGUUCAGCAAUUUGGAGGUUUGUGGUGUAGUUGGUGAUGGUUGGACGGACUUUUUGAGUGAUCCACUUGAGCGUCCAGAGGAAAGGUCAUCCGUAAAUAGUUUCUUUGAAUGGGCCGUCUGAGCGACUGUGCGACAUCUGUCAGCCAGACAUGAGCUCGGGGCGGCGUGAAGCGGAGGUCAUAAAAACGCUCUCAAAACAAGGAGUGCGAGGAUGAGGCUGUGGAGAAAAGCUCAAACAUUCUUCUCAUUGUUCUCAAGUCUCGAAAGACCGUGCCAGACGCUGCACAGCCAAAACAACAUCCAGAGGAAGGCGAAGGACAAAAAAAAAGUGUGGCAAAACCAGAAAGGCCAAGCCGGGAGUAUUAGACGAGGUGUGCAAGCUGGAGCGCUAGAUCACAAGAGAGCGAAAGCGGCCGGAGGAAGCCCAGUCUCUCAGACACUAGAAGAAGGAGGGGCCAGCUGCAGUGACCACGGACUACAUGACAAAAAAUGAGCUGCCAUCGUGGGCCAAACAAUUGGAAAAUACAGCAAGUGACCAUGGAAA
Molecule: long non-coding RNA, 1108 nt
Organism: Cyprinus carpio carpio
Lineage: Eukaryota; Metazoa; Chordata; Actinopteri; Cypriniformes; Cyprinidae
Source: Ensembl